ACAUCCGUCAAAUCGGGUUGGUCUUAUCGCUUAUUUCUCCCCCAAAAAGAGUGUCUAACUCUACUAACAAAGUGGAAUGAUGUUGAAAUAUACGCUAAAAUUAGCAUAUAACUAAUAUUAGUGCAAAUAAACGCGGGAAAACACGAAUUAAAAAUAUGCCUUUCUGCUGACUCACGGAGACGGAGACGAGGCAAUUAGCGGCUGGCCAGCAGUCCAGACACUGCGGUUAGAUGUAUAGAUAUGGUUGGGGCGUUAAUCUAGACGAGGUGAAGAUUACGUUUAUAACACCCUGGCUUGAGAGAACAUACUGAAG
Penaeus chinensis is the source of this 313-nucleotide long non-coding RNA. RefSeq lists it as uncharacterized. The transcript has 3 exons. Lineage: Eukaryota; Metazoa; Arthropoda; Malacostraca; Decapoda; Penaeidae. The record is from RefSeq and is a predicted model, not a curated record.